GGGUAGUCCCAGAGAUGACCAAGAUUAGCUGUAAGAUACCAAGAGCUUUAUAAAAUUCAGGAUACAUCUGAACCAUCUGAGUUGUCUUCACACUAGUGGGAAAUUAUAACAAUAAAGGCUGGGAACAUCCACACUAGAUGAACAGCAUUACCAAAGAAGAACGCCCUGGCAGUAAGAGAAAUUUUAAUUUGUUGUUCAUUUAUUUUUUUUCUAAUUAUAGACACAAGCAGAUUUAGUGAUACGGACACUAACGGAUGGUGUUUUGUGCUCUUAAUAAUUUUACAGGGAGUUUGUAUCUGUUAGACUUUGACAAGGACACCCGAGCCUUGUUCUUCUUCAAUAAUAAUGACGCUGUGCCAGAUAGUAUUUCGGGGACUGUUGCCAUGGCACACUACAACAUGUAGGAGAACACUUCCAGGAGCUCCUGUGGCGAUCAUUAUGCUUAAACUUGGAAAACUGCUGCUGAGGACGUCGGAUAAACCGACGUUGUUUGUCGUUGUAAAUUAGCUAUUUAUUUAAAGUGCGUUUUAUUUCCCGCGCUAACAGUAUUUCAGGACCAUGGACAAGGACCUGCGAAAUUCCACAAGGCCAAAGAAGUAGUACUACAGCCUGGGCUAAAUUUUGAAAACCACUGUUGUUGUUACUACUCCUGUUCUUGCAUUUGAUUGUCUUAAGUAUUUCUAUACUUUAAAGGAACAGACCCAAUAGAAUACAAGCAUGUAAAAAUACUGCUUUUGGAAAUCCGCGUAAUUUUUGUUUGUUAAUUUCGCUGGGCGAAAUUAGAAAAUAUCGAUAUAUCGCCGUGAAUGUGUUUUUCCAAACAUAACGAGUUGGCUGUGAGCUCGCCUGACGGUAAGGCUCUAUGUUUAAGAAAAUAAACGCCGUUUUCCGUCCCAACCACGGACAAAGAAGUAAGGAUGGCUGCCAGUCGGACCUCUAUCAUAAAGCGUGUACGGUGAAGUUGGUGCGGAGCACCUCGAUGCUCAUCGUGGGAGACAGUCGUCAGAAGACGACCGACUCUUCUUUAAAAAGGAGUAAAAGCUCCAUAAGUAUUGAGUCGACCGCACUUUACUACUAUAAACAAGAGGACCGGGUCUGGUUAUACUCUAGGACUCAGGACUGCCUUCAGUAUCUGGAGGAUUUAAUGGCUUUGAGGAGACAGUACCUCAAAAGCGUCAACAAUUUGAAAAGCAACGUCAACAAAGCAAACCAUUCCUCGGCGUCUACAGAGGCAAAGUCGGCUUCUUCGCCAUCCCCUAAGAAAGAAAAGAAGACAACGAAAACAAAAGCUAAGGCGCCCCCUGUUCCUGACGAAGUCAACACUCUUGAGUAUUUUGAUGCGGUCAUUGCCAGUUAUGACUCAGAAAAGAAGAGUAGACCAUAUACAGAUGAUGGACAUGCAGAUGUUGACUUCAUUGUUGCCACCAGUACCAGUGACCACGACUUGCACUCUAACUGGAUGCUAAGGGAUCCCAGGCGGUUCUCCAUGGACGAGGCAAAGCUGAAGAAGUCCAGCAGGAAAUCUCAAAGGAGUAAUGAGAAUGGAACAGUCAGUAGCCAAAAAAAGCUGCAGAGAAACCCGAUACAUUUACCCAAAGUUGUAGAAAGUGCCUUUCAAACACUACGAUUCAAACCAAAACUGAAGAAUAAAAAUGAGUGACCUCACAUUUAAUCCAAAAUUCAUCUUUCUUUUUAAAUUAUUUUUUUAAUCUAUUAAAAUCUAGGAUUUGUUGUUGUUUGUUUGUUGGCAGGAAAAGACAGCUUGGCCAUGUCAAACAGAAAGCUCAAAAUUUACAGUCAUUGAUCUGUCACUACACAACACUGAAAAAGCAGUUUAAGAGAAAAGUAAUCAAUUUUGAUAUCCUUUAAAACCAAUAAAUGUUCAUCUACAAAAAUGCAAAAAUCAGGUUUGUGCUUCAGAGAUGGAUUAUACCGUAUGUUCCCAUAUGAAUGGACUCCCAUAGUUAUGUCACUAAAAUUCAGGUUUAUUCAGAAGAAAUGUUCAGAUUUUUCAAUGUUAUGUUAUAAUAUUGCAUAUACUGUACAUAACAGAAAUAAUAGGCCCUGAAGAAAAGUAUUUAUGUGGAAUUAACAAGACCAUUAAGAAUGGUAAUAAAUACCUCUAGAUCAAAUAGUUGUAAUUGAUAAAGGAAUCUGUGGAAGCUCACAGUGUUAAUUAUCUCUGGAUGUGAUCAUUACUAUUGACCUAUUUUAUUGACUUCCAGUCGACUAACCCCUCAGAAUUCUAACCAAAAAUAAAGGAAUAUACAGGACAGUUCUGUUUCCUGGCCAACUAAUGGGAGAUACACUGUUCCUUAGUUUCUCAUGAAUAAUGCACAACAUAGUUACGUUGAGAGAUAUCUAUUUCAGGGGCAUAUAAAGCUUCCUUUCAAGUACGUGCACUUUCUGGAAACAUUUUUUCAGUUGUCAGCUUCAGACGUUAGUCAGACUCGCAGCCAUUCCCAAUAACGGUUUUCCCAUCACAAAUUGUUUGAACUAUGAGUUAACUUGGAGCCAUAAAAUAAAAUGAAUGUUCUUUGAUGUUGUUUAUUCAUUUGUCAGGAACAUUGUCACACGUCCUACAUCUUUGUUAUGGCUAACAGGAAAAAGUGCUAAGCCAAAAAAUAUUCAAACAUAGUAAGUAAGCUCCGUUUGGCCGGAUGAAGCUCACUGGUUUAUGUUCCAGGAUAACUAUGUCUCAAAU
This is a long non-coding RNA of Lepisosteus oculatus (spotted gar), 2704 nucleotides long. NCBI's taxonomy places the organism in Eukaryota, Metazoa, Chordata, Actinopteri, Semionotiformes, Lepisosteidae. The record is from Ensembl.